AAGUCGUAACAAGGUUUCCGUAGGUGAACCUGCGGAAGGAUCAUUCACACAUCGCCCAGCAGUUGACGUGUGUGUAUUAAUUGCAUGCAUAGCUGCUUGGGUUUGAUAUACAUCUAUUCAACUUAACAUUAACUGAGCCGCGUCCCGUGAUCACUCAAGGCAUAUAGGGCUUUCGUGCUCUUGUGUUUCGGUCGUUCACACAAUCAAUUUUUUUACUCACCGUUUUCGUGGACAGCUUUUGGCAAUCGUUAUCAGUGGAUCAACUCCCAUGAUUUGACUGCCCGGUCCGCUUACAUCAUGUGUUUCGUUUAGGUUCAUGUAUGUUACAGCGCAAUGUACAUAUGUGAUAUACGAAAAAAAUCUGCUGUGUGGUUUAGACACAAAGCAAAUGAAAACAACUCUUUACAAUGGAUAUCUUGGUUCUC
This 425-nucleotide unclassified non-coding RNA is filed under the name fungal sp. Its description in RNAcentral is "partial internal transcribed spacer region". The stretch from base 1 to 46 matches the Rfam family "Eukaryotic small subunit ribosomal RNA", at positions 1786 to 1831 of the family's 1831-position model. The record is from RNAcentral. Lineage: Eukaryota; Fungi.